RNAcentral lists this ribosomal RNA (517 nucleotides) under uncultured bacterium. Its description in RNAcentral is "bacterial SSU rRNA". It matches the Rfam family "Bacterial small subunit ribosomal RNA", at positions 791 to 1305 of the family's 1533-position model. The record is from RNAcentral.
UAGUCCACGCCGUAAACGAUGAAUACUAGGUGUAGGGGGUAUCGACCCCCUCUGUGCCGCAGCUAACGCAAUAAGUAUUCCGCCUGGGGAGUACGACCGCAAGGUUGAAACUCAAAGGAAUUGACGGGUCCCCGCACAAGCAGCGGAGCAUGUUGUUUAAUUCGAAGCAACGCGAAGAACCCUUACCGAGGGCUUGACAUCCACAGAAUCUUCUAGAGAUAGAGGAGUGCCGUUACGGGAACUGUGAGACAGGUGGUGCAUGGUUGUCGUCAGCUCGUGUCGUGAGAUGUUGGGUUAAGUCCCGCAACGAGCGCAACCCCUAUGUUUAGUUGCCAGCAUUAAGUUGGGGACUCUAGACAGACUGCCGGUGAUAAACCGGAGGAAGGUGGGGACGACGUCAAAUCAUCAUGCUCCUUAUGUCCUGGGCUACAAACGUGCUACAAUGGCCAUUACAGAGGGCAGCCACGUCGCAAGGCGGAGCGAAACCCGAAAGGUGGUCUCAGUUCGGAGUUGGGGC